Molecule: ribosomal RNA, 492 nt
Filed under: uncultured bacterium
Lineage: Bacteria
Description: partial 16S ribosomal RNA
Rfam family: Bacterial small subunit ribosomal RNA
Source: RNAcentral
AGUGAACGCUGGCGGUAGGCCUAACACAUGCAAGUCGAACGGCAGCACAGUAAGAGCUUGCUCUUACGGGUGGCGAGUGGCGGACGGGUGAGGAAUACAUCGGAAUCUACUUUUUCGUGGGGGAUAACGUAGGGAAACUUACGCUAAUACCGCAUACGACCUACGGGUGAAAGCAGUGGAUCUUCGGACCUUGCGCGAUUGAAUGAGCCGAUGUCGGAUUAGCUAGUUGGCGGGGUAAAGGCCCACCAAGGCGACGAUCCGUAGCUGGUCUGAGAGGAUGAUCAGCCACACUGGAACGGAGACACGGACCAGACUCCUACGGGAGGAAGCAGUGGGGAAUAUUGGACAAUGGGCGCAAGCCUGAUCCAGCAAUACCGCGUGGGUGAAGAAGGCGUUAGGGUUGUAAAGCCCUUUUGUUGGGAAAGAAAAGCAGCAGGUUAAUACCGCGCUGUUGUGACGGUACCCAAAGAAUAAGCACCGGCUAACUUCGUG